UGGGGAAUUUUGGACAAUGGGCGCAAGCCUGAUCCAGCCAUGCCGCGUGCGGGAAGAAGGCCUUCGGGUUGUAAACCGCUUUUGUCAGGGAAGAAAUCUUCUGAGUUAAUACCUCGGGAGGAUGACGGUACCUGAAGAAUAAGCACCGGCUAACUACGUGCCAGCAGCCGCGGUAAUACGUAGGGUGCAAGCGUUAAUCGGAAUUACUGGGCGUAAAGCGUGCGCAGGCGGUUUUGUAAAAACAGAGGUGAAAAUCCCCGGGCUCAACCUGGGGAACUGCCUUUGUGACUGCAAGGCUUGAAGUGCGGCAGAGGGGGGAUGGAAUUCCGCGUGUAGCAGUGAAAUGCGUAGAUAUGCGGAGGAACACCGAUGGCGAAAGGCAAAUCCCCCUGGGCCUGCACUGACGCUCAUGCACGAAAAGCGUGGGGAGCAAAACAGGGAUUAGAUACCCCUGGUAGUCCACGCCCUAAAACGAUGUCAACUGGUUGUUGGGGAAAGGUUCCCUUCUCAGUAAACGUAAGCUAAACGCGUGAAAGUUGACCGCCUGGGGGAGUACGGCCGCAAAGGUUGAAAACUCAAAAUGAAAUUGACGGGGGUCAUAGCUGUUUCCUG
RNAcentral lists this ribosomal RNA (612 nucleotides) under uncultured bacterium. RNAcentral describes it as "partial 16S ribosomal RNA". It matches the Rfam family "Bacterial small subunit ribosomal RNA", at positions 355 to 941 of the family's 1533-position model. The record is from RNAcentral.